UUAUACCCAUGGGGGUGCCCGGUACCGGCAAAUCGCAGCCGAUUUUAAGCUGGCAUGACGGGCCAUGGUUCUCUUGUGUUCGUGGGAAGUGCCGGGCUGAGAAAAGCGUUUCUCGCUUUACCCUUUGAACCUGAUCUGGAUCAUACCAGCGUAGGGAAAUGGGUAACCGGUAGCG
Molecule: non-coding RNA, 175 nt
Filed under: Desulfofundulus kuznetsovii
Lineage: Bacteria; Bacillati; Bacillota; Clostridia; Eubacteriales; Peptococcaceae
Description: Desulfotomaculum kuznetsovii TPP sequence
Rfam family: TPP riboswitch aptamer (THI element)
About the family: Vitamin B(1) in its active form thiamin pyrophosphate (TPP) is an essential coenzyme that is synthesised by coupling of pyrimidine and thiazole moieties in bacteria. The previously detected thiamin-regulatory element, thi box was extended, resulting in a new, highly conserved RNA secondary structure, the THI element, which is widely distributed in eubacteria and also occurs in some archaea.
Source: RNAcentral